RNAcentral lists this non-coding RNA (148 nucleotides) under Gorilla gorilla gorilla (western lowland gorilla). The record is from Rfam by way of RNAcentral. Lineage: Eukaryota; Metazoa; Chordata; Mammalia; Primates; Hominidae.
GCCGGGCGUGGUGGCGAGCGCCUGUAAUCCCAGCUACUGGGGAGGCUGAGGCGGGAGAAUUGCUUGAACCCGGGAGGCGGAGGUUGCAAUGAGUCAAGAUCGCACUACUGCACUCCAGCCUGGGUGACAGAGUGAGACCCUGUCUCAA